Molecule: ribosomal RNA, 949 nt
Filed under: uncultured Neocallimastigales
Lineage: Eukaryota; Fungi; Neocallimastigomycota; Neocallimastigomycetes; Neocallimastigales
Description: partial large subunit ribosomal RNA
Rfam family: Eukaryotic large subunit ribosomal RNA (bases 166-949)
Source: RNAcentral
CGCAUCUGUGCAUGCAGCAUAUCAAUAAGCGGAGGAAAAGUCAACUACCUACGCUUAGGAUGUUGACGAGACUGUCGAUCUCAUCUAUACAUGACUCUGUGCAUAUCAAUAAGCGGAGGAAAAGUAAAUGCUGUAUACCUACGCUUAGGAUGUUGACGAGACUGUCGAUCUCAUCUAUACAUGACUCUGUGCAUAUCAAUAAGCGGAGGAAAAGAAACUAACAAGGAUUCCCCUAGUAACGGCGAGUGAAGCGGGAAGAGCUCAAAUUUGAAAUCUUAAAGGGUUUCCCUUUACGAAUUGUAGUUUAAAGAAGUGUUUUCUGUUGAGGUUUUGGUAAAAGUUCUUUGGAAUAGGACAUCAUAGAGGGUGAGAAUCCCGUAUUUGACCAUUACUUUUCAACUGUGUGAUACACUUUCAAAGAGUCGGAUUGUUUGGGAAUGCAGUCCAAAAUGGGUGGUAAAUUUCAUCUAAAGCUAAAUAUUGGCGAGAGACCGAUAGCGAACAAGUACCGUGAGGGAAAGAUGAAAAGAACUUUGAAAAGAGAGUUAAACAGUACGUGAAAUCGUCAAAAGGGAAGCGUUUGACACCAGUGUUGUUUUUCUGAAAGUCAAUUAAAGAACUGUUUAUGCUAAGUUGUUUAGACUUUAUCAGCUAACUGUUUAGUUUUGAGCUUCUCUUUAAUGCACUUUUCAGUUAACAAGUCAACAUCAAUUUCUUUUGCUGUAAAAAAGCUUGAGGAAGGUGGCUUGAGAUUCGUCUUAAGUGUUUAUAGCCUCUUGCCUAUGCAGUCGGAGAGAUUGAGGUCUGCAGCGUAGAUCCUUCGGGGCUAAAUGCAUUUGUGCUAAGUUAUAGCAUUUUAUAGACAACUUGUUGACUAUGAUUUGUCUUGUAGCUUACUCGCUUAUGUUAUUUUACCUACGCUUAGGAUGUUGACGAGACUGUCGAUCUC